UUUGAUUGCAUGAUUUUUUUUCUCUUUCAGAAAUAUGAGAAAGAGUAUGUGCAGUAUGAAGUGUGUAGAAACUGAGGAAUACAAUAAAGAGAAGUGUGUGUGUGUGUGUGUGAGAAGUGCUGUGGGUGUGUGUAUAUCCGAGAGUGAUGGAAAGAGAGGUGUUAAAAUGUGGAUAGAAGAAUAAGAGAGGGAAAGUGUUAAUGAGCAGUGAUGAAAAUGAUAUUAAAUAGAUGUUUUAGUGUUUUUGUACAGGUGGCUACGGAACUGGAUCAACGUCCUCCACAAGCACAGCGGCCGGAGCAAAAUGAUAGAUUAACAUAAUUGGAACCACACCCAGCCGUGUUUUGGCUGAAUAUUACACAGCUUCACUCCAUGUACACCUUACACUGAAGAACAAGCUUCGAGGGCGAUCGAUCUCUCCCUGAAGACAAAAUGCAGUUCGAGAGCAACGGCGUCGACUUCAAGACUCGACAAUGUGAACACACAGCAACACUGCCCUGAACCUUAAAGGGUUCAGCAGCAUGUACAAAUACCAUGGAUGGAUGGAAGUAUGCGCUCCCAGCGUCAUCACUGUGUGUGAAUGGACUUGAGAAGACUGUCUGAGUUUCACAUUUGCCAUACUGGGAGCUGAAAUGGCAAAGGAAGAGACUGAAAAGAGUGAAAGACAAAAGACAAAGCUGAAGAAGAACAGCCCACUGGGCCCCUGACACGCCACAACUAUGAACUGCUGCAGAUGCAGGAGAGAGACAGAAGCUGUGAGAAGUGGGGAGAAGAGAGCAUGGAGUUAAAAUGAAGUCUGUUGUUGUUAAUGUGAGAACACAUGAAAAUUGGAAAACUGUGGCCAGGUGUCUUGUGGAGGUUGAUAAAGAGUCCGUAGGAUUGCAACAAAGUAGGGAGAUACAGGUGCAGUGGCCAGAGUAUUGCUGGAAGAAAUCAUCCCAAGGGUGGAAUCUCCAGACUGAGAUUGAGACUGGGUGCUGAUCAGAAGUCUUCAGAGACCCAGCGAGAACUAGGAAACACUCAUGGCAUAGCUGACAGCCCAGACAGUGGUUGAGGUCAAAGGUCGUGCGGUUUGUGGCCCUACUAGUCAUUAUGAGAAGAUUCCAGAACCACAGCAAUAACCAUAAAGCUGCAUUGGAACGAGAGGG
Long non-coding RNA from Oreochromis aureus, 1148 nucleotides. The record is from Ensembl. Lineage: Eukaryota; Metazoa; Chordata; Actinopteri; Cichliformes; Cichlidae.